This 400-nucleotide unclassified non-coding RNA is filed under the name uncultured fungus. RNAcentral describes it as "sequence contains ITS1". Lineage: Eukaryota; Fungi. The record is from RNAcentral.
GGUGUCAUGUAUGGUGGCAAUGUUGGCCUUGGAUACUUGAAGGCGAUUUCGAGAGGAUCUCGAACGAGUAGCAGAUUGACCAUGUUGAACAACGGGAAUGAAAGUCCAACUAGGGUUCCGCCUAUAAUAAUGGCUGCGUGCUUGUUUCGCCUUGUUGCCCAGUACGUGAGGUCUAACAGCAUUGCUGAUGGAAUCCAGACUGGAGUGACAACGAAGUCAUACGGGUAUCCCAGUGCAAACCAUGCUCCCUUUGCCACCCACGUGUAGAUGGUCAUAAUGGUUGCAUAGUAGGUUGCAGUUCCAGGAACUCCAGUGAAGAGCAUGUAGUAUAUUGCUCCUACUGCGAGCAUCGUGGACUGACCGAUUGAGAAUACGACGAAUGAGGUCCAUGCCCAAUCUG